This 484-nucleotide ribosomal RNA is filed under the name uncultured bacterium. RNAcentral's name for it is "partial 16S ribosomal RNA". It matches the Rfam family "Bacterial small subunit ribosomal RNA", at positions 30 to 507 of the family's 1533-position model. The record is from RNAcentral.
AUUGAACGCUGGCGGCAGGCCUAACACAUGCAAGUCGAGCGGAUGAAGGGAGCUUGCUCCUGGAUUCAGCGGCGGACGGGUGAGUAAUGCCUAGGAAUCUGCCUGGUAGUGGGGGAUAACGUCCGUACACGGGCGCUAAUACCUCAUACGUCCUGAGGGAGAAAUUUGGGGAUCUUCGUACCUCACGCUAUCAGUUGAGCCUAGGUCGGAUUAGCUAGUUGGUGGGGUAAAGGCCUACCAAGGCGACGAUCCGUAACUGGUCUGAGAGGAUGAUCAGUCACAAUGGAACUGAGACACGGUCCAGACUCCUACGGGAGGCAGCAGUGGGGAAUAUUGGACAAUGGGCGAAAGCCUGAUCCAGCCAUGCCGCGUGUGUGAAGAAGGUCUUCGGAUUGUAAAGCACUUUAAGUUGGGAGGAAGGGCAGUAAGUUAAUACCUUGCUGUUUUGACGGUACCAACAGAAUAAGCACCGGCUAACUUCGUG